GGAGCACCGGGCUGGGUGCUGUUGAGAAUGCCUCUGUGCUUAGGGAGAGCUUGAGCAUCUUGGCUGAAGGGCUCUGCUUAGAAACGGCUCUGGGAAACCGUUCCUCCCCCUGGAUGUAGUCACAGCGUGGUAAAUUCCAUCUGAAAAAUAAAAGCGGAGCUCUUUGCUGAGUCAUAGAAGCUUCAGAGCUGAUUUGCACAAGCCCGGCUGAGCCUGGACAACCUGAGAAAGAUUGACACGGUCAAGAUGAGAAAUGGGUGAGAAGAGCAGAAGCUGUGAGGGUUUGAGAAUGGCGACCCUAAAGCAGAGUGUGCUGGCUUCCAAUACUGUUCAGACAACCUUGGGAGACCUCACACUUUGGAGACCUAUCUGAAAACAUCUGAGUAGCUGUGGUAUGCCAAGGAGGAAGCUCUAAGGAAGGAAGCAAGAGUAAUUUUUCAGCUCUCUGUAUUUUGGAGCUAUCCGCUCUAAGGUGAGUGAGAAAAUGUAGCGGAGCGACAGCCGAGGCGACACCUGCCAGGAGUUUGGUGUGGACACCCCAGCCUAGACGGAGCAUCUGCCCCUGGGUGCCCCUUUGGCCACCCAGCCUCACCAUGUCAAAGAAGGGCGCAGGCAGCCGGGCCAAGGGGGACAAGGUGGAGGCUCUCGCUGCACUGCAGGCCGCCAAUGAGGAGCUGCGAGCCAAGCUCACGGACAUCCAGAUCGAGCUGCAGCAGGAGAAGAGCAAGGUCAGCAGAGUGGAGCGGGAGAAGAGCCAAGAGCUGAGGCAGGUGCGUGAACACGAGCAGCGCAAGCACGCAGUCCUGGUCACCGAGCUCAAGACCAAGCUGCACGAGGAGAAGAUGAAGGAGCUGCAGGCUGUGCGUGAGGCCCUGCUGCGGCAGCAUGAAGCCGAGCUUCUGAGAGUCAUCAAGAUCAAGGACAAUGAGAACCAGCGGCUGCAGGCACUGCUCAACACAGUGCGUGAUGGCGCACCUGAAAAGGUCAAGACAGUGCUCCUGUGUGAAGCCAAGGAGGAGGCCAAGAAGGGGUUCGAGGUGGAGAAGGUCAAAAUGCAGCAAGAGAUCUCAGAGCUCAAGGGGGCCAAGAAGCAGGUGGAGGAGGCGCUGACACUGGUGAUCCAGGCAGACAAGAUCAAGGCUGCGGAGAUCAGGAGCGUGUACCACCUGCACCAGGAGGAGAUCAUCUGCAUCAAGAAGGAAUGCGAGCGAGAGAUCCGCAGGCUGAUGGAGGAGAUAAAAUUUAAGGACAGAGCAGUCUUCGUGCUGGAGAGAGAGUUAGGGGUUCAAGCCGGGCAUGCCCAGAAACUGCAGCUCCAGAAAGAGGCUCUAGAUGAGCAGCUUUCCCAGGCCAGAGAGGCUGAGCGGCACCCAGGCAGCCCCAGACGGGAACUUCCUUAUGCAAGCGGUGCAGGAGAUGCUUCAGACCACUCAGGAAGCCCUGAACAGCAGUUGGAUGAAAAAGAUGCCCGGCGCUUCCAACUUAAAAUUGCAGAGUUAAGUGCUAUCAUUCGAAAACUGGAGGACCGCAAUGCCUUGCUGUCAGAAGAAAGGAAUGAGCUGUUAAAGCGGUUAAGAGAAGCUGAAAGUCAGUACAAGCCAUUACUGGAUAAAAACAAACGCCUUACUCGGAAAAAUGAAGAUUUGACUCACACAUUACGGAGAAUAGAAAGCAAGUUGAAAUUUCUCACCCAGGAGAACAUGGAAAUGGCACAGCGGGAUGACCCCAGCUCUACCGUCCAGCCAGACCACGUUCCUGCCACUUGUGACACAGCCCACUUGGUGUUUCAGAGGCAGAGAGCCGGGAUCAUCCGGAGACCCAGCUCCCUAAACGACCUUGAUCAAAGUCAGGAUGAGAGGGAGGUGGACUUCCUGAAGCUUCAAAUUGUAGAGCAACAGAGCCUCAUUGAUGAGCUCUCGAAGACCCUUGAAACUGCCGGCUACGUAAAGAGUGUGUUAGAGCGUGAUAAGCUUUUAAGGUAUCGGAAACAAAGAAAGAAAAUGGCGAAGCUCCCCAAGAAGCCGGUUGUUGUGGAGACUUUCUUUGGAUAUGAUGAAGAUGGUUCUUCCGAUGGCUCUUCCAUCUCUUAUCAAACUGACAGGACAGACCAGACUCCUUGCACCCCGGAUGAUGACUUGGAGGAGGGCCUGGCCAAGGAGGAGACGGAGCUGCGGUUCCGCCAGCUGACCAUGGAGUACCAGGCGCUGCAGCGAGCCUAUGCCCUGCUGCAGGAGCAGGUUGGAGGAACACUGGAUGCAGAGCGAGAAGUUAAGACCCGUGAGCAGCUGCAAGCAGAGGUGCAGAGGGCACAGACACGGGUAGAAGACCUGGAGAAGGCACUGGCAGAGCAGGGGCAGGAUAUGAAGUGGAUUGAAGAGAAGCAAGCAUUGUAUCGAAGAAAUCAAGAGCUUGUAGAAAAGAUAAAACAAAUGGAGAUGGAGGAGGCCCGGCUGAAGCACGAUGUCCAGGAUGCAAAGGAUCAGAAUGAGUUGCUGGAGUUCAGGAUCCUGGAGCUCGAGGAGAGGGAGAGGAAGUCGCCUGCCAUCAACUUCCAUCACACACCCUUCGUGGAUGGGAAGAGCCCCCUCCAAGUGUACUGCGAGGCUGAAGGCGUGACGGACAUCCUGGUUUCGGAGCUGAUGAAGAAGCUGGACAUCCUGGGGGAUAACGCCGUAAGUAAUCUGACCAAUGAAGAGCAAGUGGUUGUCAUACAAGCCAGGACAGUCUUGACCUUGGCAGAGAAGUGGCUCCAGCGGAUUGAAGAGACUGAGUCUGCACUGCAUCGGAAGAUGCUGGAUCUGGAGAGUGAGAAGGAUCUGUUCAGUAAACAGAAGGGCUACCUGGAUGAGGAGCUGGACUAUAGGAAGCAGGCCUUGGACCAAGCCCACAAGCACAUCCUAGAGCUGGAAGCCAUGCUGUACGAUGCCCUGCAGCAAGAGGCUGGGGCCAAAGUGGCAGAGCUGCUGUCAGAAGAGGAGCGUGAGAAGCUCAAGGUGGCUGUGGAGCAGUGGAAGCGCCAGGUCAUGAGUGAGCUGCGGGAGCGGGAUGCACAGAUCCUGCGGGAGCGCAUGGAACUGCUGCAGCUAGCACAGCAGAGAAUUAAAGAGUUAGAAGAAAGAAUAGAAGCUCAGAAGAGACAAAUUAAAGAACUAGAAGAAAAGCUUUCAUUCUCUGGUCAUAGCUGGUCUUGGCACCCCGAUGUGUCUCCCGUGGAGUCAUACCCCUGUCCUCUAGUAGGACCAGAGAGCAGAGGAUGCUGGCGACAAAGUGGGACAUUGCACCUCAUCUCUGAAGACCCCAAGGGGUUUGAUCACUGUGCAGCCAUCCUGUGCAGGAUGAGGGGGAAGCAGAGGUUUGAGUGGGGGCCUCUGUCCACUCGGGAUGAGCCAGAAUCAGAACUAGCUUUGCUGGCUGGGGCUUCUCUGAGAGAGGCCUGGCCUUGGCUGCUGGCCCCUUGGGUCUCUCUUCUCGUAAGGCAGCCUCCAUCCCAGUCAUGGGGAUGUGUGAUGUUCCCUGCCGAGCAGGGGUAAGAGCCGCUCCGGUGCAGGAGCAAGCCCUCCUCCCGGUUACCAUAGUAACUGUCCAUGUCCUCUGAGGAAGAGCUUCAGAAAUGACACAGGCUCAUUCCCAAUGACAAAAUGAAGACUGUGACUUCAGUGGCAACCUCCAUUCAGGGGAACCGGGCGGGUUCAUGGGGACAGCCCAAGGAGGGUUCUCUGUGACACCCUCUGUGCACAGUGAUGCCGAGACUCUCUCACCCGGGGCCCGAGCACUCACUGGUGGACAAAUAUCACACCCACCCUUGUUCUGUUACACUGUCCUCUCCAUGGGGCCAGAUGGGAGUUUUGGCUACUGCUGACCUCUUCACCCCACCUCAAGACAUGAAGGCCAAAAUCUGGCCCCAAACCACUGGCCAGGAGCACAGUGGGACCAGAGGAGGGAUGAGGAGUGUGGUAAGGUGACAUGAGAUGAGGCUGCAGAGCCACCAGAAAGAAGCCUGAUGCCAGAGGACAUGGAUGUGACCACACAGACCCAGAGACCAGAUGCCUUGGGCACCCAGUACUACCCAGCCUGGAAGCUGUUCAGCAGGCCAGCUGGGCCUGGGGGCUGCAGAUGGCCAGGGGUGCCCAAAGAUGGCCCCGUCCAGAGCCUUUGCACACAAGGAGCAGGGCCCGGGUGAGGCUACACAAGUGCUUGUGGUUCUACAGAUGCAAGAAGGGAGCCUGGAGUCCAGUGGCCCACAGAGAGAAAACAGUGCGUCAAUGAAGGCAGUGUUAAGUGUGACUUCCAUUCCUGCUGGAUGAUUCAGUCCACAACCCAGGAAAGUCUUCCUGCAUUUGGAUGAGCCUGACUCCAUGGCUGAAGGGUUCUUCUGUCGUCAUCAUCACAUCCUUGGUGGUCUAAGAUUGUUGCCCUCAGUGGCUCAGUUAGAAGAGACAUGUGCAUGUGCACAUGUGUUCAUGGAUGUCCUCACUCAACCAGAGAACAAAACAACAACAACAAAUGAGCCCAUUUGAGGCACCUAGAAGUUGAUGCACCAGGUGUGCCAUAUGCAUCCAAGUGUGAGUGUAACCUGUAGCAUUGCAUUUUUAAAAAAACCAGUAGCUGGAGAGAGGAACAAUUGUGUUGUCUGGAAGUAUUAAGCUCAUUUUAUAUUUGUGCCAGAAGAAAUGUUCCACUCCGGUACUGAUGUGGUGGACCAGGCAUGGUUCCCUAGGUUAAAAUCUGGGGAAUGCUUAUAGGAUCAGACAGAUAUGCUUUUUCUUUGGUGGGUGCAGAAUUUCUGCUGGGAAAUGCACUAUUAAUCACACUUAUCCAUGAAGGACCUAUCCUUUCUUUUGUCAUUUGAACCACAGUCCCUGAUUCACUUGGACAAGGCACUGGUCCAGUUCAUCACCUCCCUAGUCAAGCCUGAUGUUGAGAUUUGUCUCAAAUCUGAAAUCUUGUAUAUUCCUCCGUGCAUAGUUUUGUCUGGUUUUAAUGGCUGCAUCCUCUUGGAAGAUUUAUUGUACUCAGAACUAAAUGGCAAACGAUAACAUGCAUUAAUAAGCGCUGCCACAGAGCUAUAAAGGAACCAUUAGGUUAAAGUCUGAUGGACUCUGCAACACAGACAUCCAGGAAACAUGUUGAAACUCCAUGUGGUCCCCUGCCAGCCUGCAUCCCCUGGGGAAAGCUCCUGGCUGGGCUCCUGUGUGAACUUGUAAGAGAAAAUCAGCCGAUUAGGAUCUAAAGAUGUGCUUUUGAGACUCACCCAAAUUCACAUCCCUCUGGUUUAGUUGGAUUAUCGUGAUUUUGCAUGUUGUAUGUGUCAGGAGUACUUCAUAUACCUUCCCAUCCACUCCAGACACACUAAAUCGCAGUUCUGUAAUGUAAAAAAAAGACAAACUAUACAGGAAAGAAAAGCAUGUAAAUAUGUACCAAUGCUUAUGAAGCUGUUAUUGUUCAUAUGUAAAAAGUUUGUACAUAGGAAAGGAAAAUGGCUCUAUGAAUGUUUUAAAUAAUGUCCUGUGAUCCAAACUGCAUUUAUACCCCUGCCACAUUCCUGAAAGCACACAUUUAGUUGGAAUGACAUUCCUCUUUGUAGGUAUCAUUGUUUUCAUUCAUAUGUCAUGGCACCUUCUUUUCAUCUCAUUACAAGAUCAGAACUGGGCUUUGACAAAAAAAAAAAAAAACAGCAAAUAUUAGUAUGUAUCACUCAUUCUUGCUGAC
Heterocephalus glaber (naked mole-rat) is the source of this 5709-nucleotide RNA transcript. It is a transcript of the gene named Janus kinase and microtubule interacting protein 3, with no coding region annotated. NCBI's taxonomy places the organism in Eukaryota, Metazoa, Chordata, Mammalia, Rodentia, Bathyergidae. The record is from RefSeq and is a predicted model, not a curated record.